Non-coding RNA from Pelobates cultripes (western spadefoot toad), 347 nucleotides. NCBI's taxonomy places the organism in Eukaryota, Metazoa, Chordata, Amphibia, Anura, Pelobatidae. The record is from the annotation of a GenBank genome assembly.
CCCAGAACGUGCGUGUGUCUUUUACGUGACGUCACACGCACGUCGACGUCUUCCAUGCCGUGGGCGGACGUGGAGUUAUAAAUCAGUGUGGAUCCGCAGCGGCCGGCGUCCAUCAACAUGCUGCAGGGGUCAGAGACAUUGACGCAUGGUCGCUAAACGGCACUACUGCGUUUAUUGGCAAGGCGAGCACUAUCAAUGUGCAAAGGUGAGGAUGAACAUGUGACACUUAGCCGCGAAAGCUCUGGAACUAUUUUCGGCAUCAAGACUUUGCUGUUCCCGGUUGGUCUCCAGCGGCACUUAGCUGCUAUUCCAUGAAACUAUUUUCGGCAUGAAGACUUCGUGGUUCC